Molecule: unclassified non-coding RNA, 340 nt
Filed under: uncultured fungus
Lineage: Eukaryota; Fungi
Also listed under: 1 other name
Description: partial contains 5.8S ribosomal RNA, internal transcribed spacer 2, and large subunit ribosomal RNA
Source: RNAcentral
AACGCAUCUUGCGCUUUUGGGUUAUUCCCGGAAGCAUGCUUGUUGGAGUAACGGAAAAGCUCAACCUCGCCCUUUCUUGAUUGAAUCGGUUGUCUGGGAUUGAAUCGUGACGCUCUGUUGACAUACACCUGUAACAAAGGUGUACAACCGCGUUGAAUUGCAAGAAGCUGAAACUUUGAAUAAUGCAGGCUUCGGCUAACUAUUGUUGUAAAACUUCGGUCAAUAGUGUUGCUUAUUUAGACUCUAGUAGGCUUACCGAAAACUUGUAGCCGUCUCGAACGAAUCGAACACUACUAUUUUGCUUGUUCUCCAAUCAAGUAGGACUACCCGCUGAACUUAA